UAAAUUUGCAUCGUAUGCAGUUUAAAUAGUGGAUAUCUAACAUUUUAUUUUUCUUUGUUUUUUUUGCCACUUCUGAUUGGCUGAAAAGAGGUCACUCGACCACCUGUAAAAAGCUAUAUUGACCGCUGUUUCCGGAAAAAAGUUUAUAAAAAAACUAUAUUGCACGGUUAUUUUUAGAAAGCAUCUAGAUCACACGAGGUCUUAGCGUUUUGUACGUACGUUAUUGACACAAGCGUUUGAGCGACCUGAAUAGUGUAAACAAUCAAAGAUGGCAGACGACAACCGUUUCCCCAAUCUGUCUAAAGACGAUAUCAACAAUAUUCUUGAAAAUGCCGACGCUCUUACACGAAACGAGCUACCAAUACAGUUGUGAAGCUUUUUCGACAAUACCUUACAGCCAGGAGCAUGCAGGACAAAUUCGAGGCAUAUUCUCCUGCAGAAUCAGAUGACGCACUGUCAGCUUUUUAUCUUGAGAUGCGUGACAGGAAAGGGCAACUUUACAAGAAAUCAACAUUGUUGGCCGAUAGAAGUGGCAUCCAAAGACACUUGGAGAAAGAACGUGAUGAUAUAAACAUAAGCAAGGGGGAUGAUUUCAAAAAUUCUAAUCGUGUUUUUAAUUCAAUGACCAAGGAGUUAAAACGCAAAGGUAAAGCGGUAAUAGACCACCAACCUCCCAUUACUGACGACGAUUUGGAAGCAGUAUGACCGAUAUGUCACCAGCAACUACGAGGACACACAAGUUUUUAUUGAUAUCAUGCUGCACUUUGGGAGGCGAGGGAGAAAAGAAUUAGCAAACCUGAAACACUAUGAUUUUUCUGUCACAAAAGACUCUACGAAUGCACUUUAUGUCUACCAAGUUACAGAUGAAAAGACAAAGAACCACCAGAAUGAUUCAGAGCUGUCUGAAGAUGGCCGAAUGUAUGAAAUCAAAGAGAGUCCACGGUGUCCUGAACGGUCCUUUGUGAAAUAUGUGCUGAUGCUGAAUCUUACUUGUCAUAGAUUUUCUAACAGCUGAUUAGACACUAUGAAAUGUAUCGUAUUUUGAAUACUAAACUAUAACAGGAUUCAAUUGAUUAAAAUUGAAUAUUGUUGUCUCAU
Molecule: long non-coding RNA, 1098 nt
Organism: Pecten maximus
Lineage: Eukaryota; Metazoa; Mollusca; Bivalvia; Pectinida; Pectinidae
Exons: 3
Source: RefSeq, a predicted model, not a curated record